Molecule: ribosomal RNA, 458 nt
Filed under: uncultured bacterium
Lineage: Bacteria
Description: partial 16S ribosomal RNA
Rfam family: Bacterial small subunit ribosomal RNA
Source: RNAcentral
CCUACGGGUGACAGCAGUGAGGAAUAUUGGUCAAUGGGCGAGAGCCUGAACCAGCCACGUCGCGUGAGGGAGUACUGCCCUAGGGGUUGUAAACCUCUUUUGUCGGGGAGCAAAAGCCGGACGUGUCCGGCUGGGAGAGUACCCGAAGAAAAAGCAUCGGCAAACUCCGUGCCAGCAGCAGCGGUAAUACGGAGGAUGCGAGCGUUAUCCGGAUUUAUGGGGGUUAAGGGGUGCGCAGGCGGAUUUUAAAGUCAGCGGUAAAAUCGCGGGGCUCAACCCCAUCCAGCCGUUGAAACUGGGGAUCUAGAGUGCGCGAGAGGUAUGCGGAAUGCGUGGUGUAGCGGUGAAAUGCAUAGAUAUCACGCAGAACCCCGAUGGCGAAGGCAGCAUACCGGUGCACAACUGACGCUCAGGCACGAAAGCGUGGGUAGCGAACAGGAUUAGAUACCCGGGUAGUC